UACUCUUUACUGAAAAUUAGCUCAAAGGCUCUUUUGGAAAUCUCAGUUUCCUUUCUUGUUUAAAUGUGAAAACAUUUACUCUUUGGGAAUACAUAGUCCCGAUAUACUCUUUUGAAGAAAUGCACUUCAAACUUUACUCUUUACUCAACUCAAAACUCAAGUCUUAAAACAAAGUUAAAACAUUUGUAAAAGACUUUUGGAAAACUUUAUGAACUUCUCUUAACUUGACUCUUGACUUCUCUUGACUUGACUCUUAACUUCUCUUGAC
RNAcentral lists this long non-coding RNA (268 nucleotides) under Solanum tuberosum (potato). RNAcentral describes it as "long non-coding RNA (STUB_LNC005578)". The record is from RNAcentral. Lineage: Eukaryota; Viridiplantae; Streptophyta; Magnoliopsida; Solanales; Solanaceae.